Molecule: unclassified non-coding RNA, 254 nt
Filed under: uncultured Gemmatimonadota bacterium
Lineage: Bacteria; Pseudomonadati; Gemmatimonadota
Description: uncultured Gemmatimonadetes bacterium contains 16S-23S intergenic spacer region
Rfam family: Bacterial small subunit ribosomal RNA
Source: RNAcentral
GACGGAGGGCGCGAGCAUUGUUCGGAAUCACUGGGCGUAAAGCGCGCGCAGGCGGGACCUGCAAGUCGGAAGUGAAAUCCCGGGGCUCAACUCCGGGACUGCUUCCGAAACUGCGGACCUGGAGAACGGUAGAGUUGGGUGGAAUUCCCGGUGUAGCGGGGGAAUGCGUAGAGAUCGGGAAGAACACCUGUGGCGAAGGCGGCCCACUGGGCCGGAUCUGACGCUGAGGCGCGAAAGCGUGGGGAGCAAACAGG